UAGCUAGUUGGUAGGGUAAAGGCCUACCAAGGCGACGAUCGGUAGCUGGUCUGAGAGGAUGACCAGCCACACUGGAACUGAGACACGGUCCAGACUCCUACGGGAGGCAGCAGUGGGGAAUAUUGGACAAUGGGGGCAACCCUGAUCCAGCAAUGCCGCGUGUGUGAAGAAGGCCUGAGGGUUGUAAAGCACUUUCAGUGGGGAGGAGGAUGCUUAGGUUAAGAGCUAGAGUAUUGGACGUUACCCACAGAAGAAGCACCGGCUAACUCCGUGCCAGCAGCCGCGGUAAUACGGAGGGUGCGAGCGUUAAUCGGAAUUACUGGGCGUAAAGGGUGCGUAGGUGGUUAAUUAAGUUAUCUGUGAAAUCCCUGGGCUCAACCUGGGCAGGUCAGAUAAUACUGGUUAACUCGAGUAUGGGAGAGGGUAGUGGAAUUUCCGGUGUAGCGGUGAAAUGCGUAGAGAUCGGAAGGAACACCAGUGGCGAAGGCGGCUACCUGGCCUAAUACUGACACUGAGGCACGAAAGCGUGGGGAGCAAACAGGAUUAGAUACCCUGGUAGUCCACGCCGUAAACGAUGUCAACUAGCUGUUGGUUAUAUAAAUAUAAUUAGUGGCGA
This 616-nucleotide ribosomal RNA is filed under the name uncultured Legionella sp. Its description in RNAcentral is "bacterial SSU rRNA". It matches the Rfam family "Bacterial small subunit ribosomal RNA", at positions 242 to 849 of the family's 1533-position model. Lineage: Bacteria; Pseudomonadati; Pseudomonadota; Gammaproteobacteria; Legionellales; Legionellaceae. The record is from RNAcentral.